Molecule: ribosomal RNA, 253 nt
Filed under: uncultured bacterium
Lineage: Bacteria
Description: partial 16S ribosomal RNA
Rfam family: Bacterial small subunit ribosomal RNA
Source: RNAcentral
UACGUAGGGUGCGAGCGUUGUCCGGAUUUAUUGGGCGUAAAGAGCUCGUAGGCGGUUUGUUGCGUCGGCUGUGAAAACCCGGGGCUCAACUCCGGGCCUGCAGCCGAUACGGGCAGACUAGAGUUCGGCAGGGGAGACUGGAAUUCCGCGUGUAGCAGUGAAAUGCGUAGAGAUGCGGAGGAACACCGAUGGCGAAGGCAGCCCCCUGGGCCAACACUGACGCUCAGGCACGAAAGCGUGGGGAGCAAACAGG